AGUGAACGCUGGCGGCAGGCCUAAUACAUGCAAGUCGAACGGCAGCACAGUGGAGCUUGCUCCAUGGGUGGCGAGUGGCGGGACGGGUGAGGAAUACAUGGGAAUCUGCCCAGUCGUGGGGGAUAACGUAUGGAAACGUACGCUAAUACCGCAUGCGCCCUUCGGGGGAAAGUCGGGGACCGCAAGGCCUGACGCGAUUGGAUGAGCCCAUGUUCGAUUAGCUAGUUGGCGGGGUAACGGCCCACCAAGGCGACGAUCGAUAGCUGGUCUGAGAGGAUGAUCAGCCACACUGGAACUGAGACACGGUCCAGACUCCUACGGGAGGCAGCAGUAGGAAGUAAUU
RNAcentral lists this ribosomal RNA (343 nucleotides) under uncultured bacterium. Its description in RNAcentral is "bacterial SSU rRNA". It matches the Rfam family "Bacterial small subunit ribosomal RNA", at positions 29 to 366 of the family's 1533-position model. The record is from RNAcentral.